UUGGGCCACCUAUUUGCAACAGCACCUAAGUCUGGAUGAUAGAAGAAACGAAGAAAAAAGAAGCGGGGGACUGAGUCCCUAUCCUUCCAUGUUCUUCCCUAGAGGAAUUCUGCCACAACUGGGGUGUUGGUGCAGAGCGGAGAACUCUCCUCUAGAAUCCCAGCUUCCUGACCAAGAAGACCAGGUGUAACGCUGACCUCAGAGAAAGAUGGACGUUGAGCAGUUCUCACUGCACCUGCUGUACCCACACAUAGUAAGGAACAGAGUCUGGGGCCCAACCAAUUAGCUCCUGAUGCAUCUAACCGGCUACAUCUUUGAAGACAGUGUUCUUUCUUCAUCUAUGUCAGGAGUUAACAACAAGAUGCUUAUGGCGUCAG
Long non-coding RNA from Leopardus geoffroyi (Geoffroy's cat), 377 nucleotides. RefSeq lists it as uncharacterized. Lineage: Eukaryota; Metazoa; Chordata; Mammalia; Carnivora; Felidae. The transcript has 2 exons. The record is from RefSeq and is a predicted model, not a curated record.